CUUUGGCGGCCGCAGGGGGAGCUCUUUAGGCGGCCGCAGGGGGAGCUCUUUAGGCAACCGCAGGGGGGGGGCUGUCUGUUCUGGCGGCCGCAGGGGGAGCAGGCUGUUCUGUCUCUGCUCCACCUCCGCUACAAAGAGACCGGGGCCGGAAUAUGACGCGCGCUGGGGAGGGGGAGCAGAGACAGAACAGCCUGCUCCCCCUGCAGCCGUCUAAAGAGCUCCCUCUGCGGCCGCAGGUGAGC
Pelobates cultripes (western spadefoot toad) is the source of this 242-nucleotide non-coding RNA. The record is from the annotation of a GenBank genome assembly. NCBI's taxonomy places the organism in Eukaryota, Metazoa, Chordata, Amphibia, Anura, Pelobatidae.